RNA transcript from Cynocephalus volans (Philippine flying lemur), 1472 nucleotides. It is a transcript of the gene named ring finger and FYVE like domain containing E3 ubiquitin protein ligase, with no coding region annotated. The transcript is spliced from 9 exons. Lineage: Eukaryota; Metazoa; Chordata; Mammalia; Dermoptera; Cynocephalidae. The record is from RefSeq and is a predicted model, not a curated record.
UGUCACGACCGUCCCCAGAUGCCCCUCAACCCAGGAGACGACGCCGCCGCGGCGCAGUCCGCAGCCCCCCUGUCUGAGGCGUCCGCGGCCCGGAUCCGGCCCCUCCCCUUCCCUCCCAGGUGUGGGCCGGGCAGGCGGCCGCGGCAGACUUUAUCAUGUGGGCAACCUGCUGCAACUGGUUCUGCCUGGAUGGACAGCCUGAGGAGGUCCCACCACCCCAGGGAGCCAGGACGCAAGCCUAUUCCAACCCUGGGUACAGCUCCUUCCCUUCUCCAACAGGCUCAGAACCGAGCUGCAAGGCCUGUGGGGCCCACUUUGCAAACACGGCCAGGAAGCAGACCUGCCUGGACUGUAAGAAAAAUUUCUGCAUGACCUGUUCGACCCAAGUGGGGAAUGGGCCCCGCCUCUGCCUUCUCUGCCAACGGUUCCGAGCCACAGCCUUUCAGCGGGAGGAGCUCAUGAAGAUGAAGGUGAAGGACCUGAGGGACUAUCUCAGCCUCCAUGACAUCUCUACCGAAAUGUGCCGGGAGAAAGAAGAGCUGGUGUUCUUGGUGCUUGGCCAGCAGCCUGUAAUCUCCCAGGAGGGCAGGACUCAUGCCCCCACCUUUUCCCCAGACUUCCCUGAGCAGCAGGUCUUCCUGACCCAGCCUCACACCAGCACAGUACUUCCUACCUCACCCAAUCUCACUCCUUCACCUGCACAAGCCACCUCUGUUCCUCCAGCCCAGGCUCAGGAAAACCAGCAGGCUAAUGGCCGUGUGUCUCAGGACCAAGAAGAACCCAUCUACCUAGAGAGCACAGCCAGAGCACCUGCUGAGGAGGAGACCCAGUCUGUCGACUCAGAGGACAGCUUUGUCCCAGGCCGGAGGGCCUCUCUGUCUGACCUGACUGACCUGGAGGACAUUGAAGGCCUGACGGUGCGGCAGCUGAAAGAGAUCCUCGCUCGCAACUUCGUCAACUACAAGGGCUGCUGUGAGAAGUGGGAGCUGAUGGAAAGGGUGACGCGGCUAUACAAGGACCAGAAAGGACUCCAGCACCUGGUGUGUGGUGCUGAAAACCAAAACGGAGCGGUACCAUCUGGCCUGGAGGAGAACCUGUUGGAAUUGGGGAAGGAGAAGACAGAGGACAUGUGAACAAGACAGAUGCCCAAGGUUCCAAGGCCAGGACAGUGGGGUGGAGGACACAUAUGGAACCUAAGAGCUGGCACCUUGAGUUGCGGGAGAUCAGUGGCAGACUUCCAGUCCUUAUCGUCACGGAUUCGGGUGCAGCGAGGAAACCGGAUGGAGAUACCAUCAGCUGUGUGAGCCUCAGAUUUGGAGAAUUCAGCCCCUGUGAUCUCCCACACGGCAGCUUUCUGUCAGAAUUCCUUCUGCAGGCGGGCGAGCGUUGCAUCAUCAUGGCCUCCUGCGCACUUGGUGACUGUGCACCACUUCUGGCUGCUCGGGUCAUAGCAGCCCAUGAGGAAGAUGGAC